UACAGAGGUCUCAAGCGUUGUUCGGAAUCACUGGGCGUAAAGGGUGCGCAGGCCGCGCGGGCAGUCAAAUGUGUAAUUCAGGGGCUCAACCCCUGCACUGCGCUUGAUACUUCCGCGCUAGAACUUUGGAGAGGGAUCUGGAAUUCUCGGUGUAGCAGUGAAAUGCGUGGAUAUCGAGAAGAACACUAAGGGCGUAGGCAAGAUCCUGGACAAAUGUUGACGCUCAUGCACGAAGGCUAGGGGAGCGAACGGG
RNAcentral lists this ribosomal RNA (253 nucleotides) under uncultured bacterium. Its description in RNAcentral is "partial 16S ribosomal RNA". It matches the Rfam family "Bacterial small subunit ribosomal RNA", at positions 524 to 776 of the family's 1533-position model. The record is from RNAcentral.